CAGUAGCCGCGGUAAUACAGAGGGUGCAAGCGUUAAUUGGAAUUACUGGGCGUAAAGCGCGCGUAGGUGGUUUGUUAAGUUGGAUGUGAAAUCCCCGGGCUCAACCUGGGAACUGCAUCCAAAACUGGCAAGCUAGAGUAUGGUAGAGGGUGGUGGAAUUUCCUGUGUAGCGGUGAAAUGCGUAGAUAUAGGAAGGAACACCAGUGGCGAAGGCGACCACCUGGACUGAUACUGACACUGAGGUGCGAAAGCGUGGGGAGCAAACAGGAUUAGAUACCCCCGUAGUCCCUGUCUCUUAUAC
RNAcentral lists this ribosomal RNA (301 nucleotides) under uncultured bacterium. RNAcentral describes it as "partial 16S ribosomal RNA". It matches the Rfam family "Bacterial small subunit ribosomal RNA", at positions 509 to 807 of the family's 1533-position model. The record is from RNAcentral.